AACUCCCAAACCCAAUGUGAACGUUACCAAACUGUUGCCUCGGCGGGAUCUCUGCCCCGGGUGCGUCGCAGCCCCGGACCAAGGCGCCCGCCGGAGGACCAACCUAAAACUCUUAUUGUAUACCCCCUCGCGGGUUUUUUUAUAAUCUGAGCCUUCUCGGCGCCUCUCGUAGGCGUUUCGAAAAUGAAUCAAAACUUUCAACAACGGAUCUCUUGGUUCUGGCAUCGAUGAAGAACGCAGCGAAAUGCGAUAAGUAAUGUGAAUUGCAGAAUUCAGUGAAUCAUCGAAUCUUUGAACGCACAUUGCGCCCGCCAGUAUUCUGGCGGGCAUGCCUGUCCGAGCGUCAUUUCAACCCUCGAACCCCUCCGGGGGGUCGGCGUUGGGGAUCGGCCCUCCCUUAGCGGGUGGCCGUCUCCGAAAUACAGUGGCGGUCUCGCCGCAGCCUCUCCUGCGCAGUAGUUUGCACACUCGCAUCGGGAGCGCGGCGCGUCCACAGCCGUUAAACACCCAACUUCUGAAAUGUUGACCUCGGAUCAGGUAGGAAUACCCGCUGAACUUAAGCAUAUCA
This 568-nucleotide ribosomal RNA is filed under the name Trichoderma citrinoviride. RNAcentral describes it as "eukaryotic LSU rRNA". The stretch from base 193 to 346 matches the Rfam family "5.8S ribosomal RNA". Lineage: Eukaryota; Fungi; Ascomycota; Sordariomycetes; Hypocreales; Hypocreaceae. The record is from RNAcentral.